This 491-nucleotide ribosomal RNA is filed under the name uncultured bacterium. RNAcentral describes it as "partial 16S ribosomal RNA". It matches the Rfam family "Bacterial small subunit ribosomal RNA", at positions 29 to 506 of the family's 1533-position model. The record is from RNAcentral.
AGUGAACGCUGGCGGUAGGCCUAACACAUGCAAGUCGAACGGCAGCACAGUAAGAGCUUGCUCUUACGGGUGGCGAGUGGCGGACGGGUGAGGAAUACAUCGGAAUCUACUUUUUCGUGGGGGAUAACGUAGGGAAACUUACGCUAAUACCGCAUACGACCUACGGGUGAAAGCAGGGGAUCUUCGGACCUUGCGCGAUUGAAUGAGCCGAUGUCGGAUUAGCUAGUUGGCGGGGUAAAGGCCCACCAAGGCGACGAUCCGUAGCUGGUCUGAGAGGAUGACCACCCAAACUGGAACUGGGACACGGCCCAAACCCCUAGGGGGGGCAGCAGUGGGGAAUUUUGGAAAAUGGGCGCAAGCCUGCACCAGCCAACCCGGGUGGGGAAAAAAGGCCUGCGGUUUGUAAAGCCCUUUUGUUGGGAAAGAAAAGCAGCAGGUUAAUACCCCGCUGUUCUGACGGUACCCAAAGAAUAAGCACCGGCUAACUUCGU